This 46-nucleotide ribosomal RNA is filed under the name Thaxterogaster sp. H1006. RNAcentral describes it as "partial 28S ribosomal RNA". Lineage: Eukaryota; Fungi; Basidiomycota; Agaricomycetes; Agaricales; Cortinariaceae. The record is from RNAcentral.
CAGGUAGGACUACCCGCUGAACUUAAGCAUAUCAAUAAGGCGGGAG